UACGGAGGGCGCGAGCGUUAAUCGGAAUUACUGGGCGUAAAGCGCGCGUAGGCUGUUGUGUAAGUUGGGGGUGAAAUCCCACGGCUCAACCGUGGAACAGCCCUUGAUACUGCGCGACUUGAAUCCGGGAGAGGGUGGCGGAAUUCCAGGUGUAGGAGUGAAAUCCGUAGAUAUCUGGAGGAACAUCAGUGGCGAAGUCGGCCACCUGGACCGGUAUUGACGCUGAGGCGCGAAAGCGUGGGGAGCAAACAGG
RNAcentral lists this ribosomal RNA (253 nucleotides) under uncultured bacterium. RNAcentral describes it as "partial 16S ribosomal RNA". It matches the Rfam family "Bacterial small subunit ribosomal RNA", at positions 524 to 776 of the family's 1533-position model. The record is from RNAcentral.